Molecule: small nucleolar RNA, 138 nt
Organism: Ornithorhynchus anatinus (platypus)
Lineage: Eukaryota; Metazoa; Chordata; Mammalia; Monotremata; Ornithorhynchidae
Source: RefSeq, a predicted model, not a curated record
CCCCUCUCGAGAUCGCACCUGGAGAGUUUCCAGUCCUCUACCAGUCUCGGCUACGGGAGGGAGAGUCAAGCGGAGGCCUACCCAUUCCAUUCCUAGCCUGGGCAGUGGCUAGCGAGCGGCGGGCAAUCUGCUACAAGU